RNAcentral lists this ribosomal RNA (225 nucleotides) under Salmonella enterica subsp. enterica serovar Lubbock. Its description in RNAcentral is "partial 23S ribosomal RNA". It matches the Rfam family "Bacterial large subunit ribosomal RNA", at positions 1124 to 1348 of the family's 2925-position model. Lineage: Bacteria; Pseudomonadati; Pseudomonadota; Gammaproteobacteria; Enterobacterales; Enterobacteriaceae. The record is from RNAcentral.
UAAAGAAAGCGUAAUAGCUCACUGGUCGAGUCGGCCUGCGCGGAAGAUGUAACGGGGCUAAACCAUGCACCGAAGCUGCGGCAGCGACACUGUGUGUUGUUGGGUAGGGGAGCGUUCUGUAAGCCUGUGAAGGUGGCCUGUGAGGGUUGCUGGAGGUAUCAGAAGUGCGAAUGCUGACAUAAGUAACGAUAAAGCUGGUGAAAAGCCCGCUCGCCGGAAGACCAA